AUGGAUCCAAUAGUCAACCAGGGGUGGACCUCAUCCGAGGUAGAGGAGGCAUACUCACUAAUUGCUAGCCUCAACACCAACAAAAUCAUGUACGAUGACAACGAUGACAAGAACAAGAAGCAACACUACAUCAUGAAUUCUCUCCAUGCAUUGUUCCAUUCAAAGACCAUGAAACAGGUAAUAAAUCUUUAUGUUGAUCUCGCCAUGGACAUGCAUAUGAUCCAGCAGAGGGAGGGGACCAAUGUUACUGGUGGUAGCCCACAAAACAUUUUCACGUUUUGUGACCCUGUCAACGGUAACUGUGAGCUACCGAAGGAGGAGAAUGGUGCUAGCAGCACACACAGUGUCUACACCAUGGGUGACCAUGCGAAUGAAAACUUUGGGGUACGAGAGAAGGAGACAACAAUCAUGGACAAUAACGGAUUGUCCUUUGGUUGUGCAGUGGAGGAUAUGAGGAUCACGGUGACGGGUGAGGCACUGCUGAUGGCAGACAACAACAAGAUGAAGGUGUUGGAGAACAAUAUUUCCAUAGAUCAACCAAUUGUUGCCCCACAUCAAUGGGGUUUUUGGACCGAUGAGGAACACAGCAUGGGCGGCCUUGUUAAUGAAGACAUUGAGGUACAAGAGGGUGAGGAGAUGACCAUGGAUGAUAGUGGAUUUUCAUUUCAUUGUACACUGGAGGAUACAAGAAUCAGGAAGACGGAGGAGGCUCCAGUGAUGGUAGACAAGAACAAAAUGGUGGUCUUGGAGAACAAUAGUUCCAAUGAUCGACCAGUUGUUGCCCCACAUCAACGAAAGUUUUGGACCAAAGAGGAACACAAGUCAUUUCUUUAUGGGCUGGAAGUCUAUGAUCGUGGCGACUGGAAAAACAUAUCCAAGCACUUCGUCACCACUCAGACCCCUGUCCAUGUUUCAAGCCAUGCACAAAAGUUUUUCAAGAGAAUAGAGAAAAAGGCAUCGUCAGGGAUAAAGCGUUACAGCAUCAAUGAUGUCAGGCUCCAUGACAACGAGCUAUUGGCAGCAAAUAAUAGUUCUGCCCCUCGGCAAACCCUUUCUUUCACCAGCCUCAACAAUGACCCAAGCUUUAGGUUGCAGGCUCCGACGAGCUCGUUCGCAGUCAUGAACAACCUAGCUCAGUGCUCCCCUUCCAUAUAUAAUCAACAAGUGGGCCAGCAGCCAAUGUGGCGUGAGCAGCAGAUGAUGGGUUCUACUGCAGCUGUAAUGGGCAGGGUAGGAAACUAUGUGCCUGAUGGCCAACAAGGGUCAGCUUAUUUUUAUCUUGGCAAUGUAUGA
RNAcentral lists this ribosomal RNA (1293 nucleotides) under Triticum aestivum (bread wheat). RNAcentral's name for it is "partial small subunit ribosomal RNA". Lineage: Eukaryota; Viridiplantae; Streptophyta; Magnoliopsida; Poales; Poaceae. The record is from RNAcentral.